This 261-nucleotide ribosomal RNA is filed under the name Escherichia coli. RNAcentral's name for it is "partial 16S ribosomal RNA". It matches the Rfam family "Bacterial small subunit ribosomal RNA", at positions 1273 to 1533 of the family's 1533-position model. Lineage: Bacteria; Pseudomonadati; Pseudomonadota; Gammaproteobacteria; Enterobacterales; Enterobacteriaceae. RNAcentral also lists the same sequence under 6 other names. The record is from RNAcentral.
CUCAUAAAGUGCGUCGUAGUCCGGAUUGGAGUCUGCAACUCGACUCCAUGAAGUCGGAAUCGCUAGUAAUCGUGGAUCAGAAUGCCACGGUGAAUACGUUCCCGGGCCUUGUACACACCGCCCGUCACACCAUGGGAGUGGGUUGCAAAAGAAGUAGGUAGCUUAACCUUCGGGAGGGCGCUUACCACUUUGUGAUUCAUGACUGGGGUGAAGUCGUAACAAGGUAACCGUAGGGGAACCUGCGGUUGGAUCACCUCCUUA